AACCCAUCUUUUUCUGGUCUUGGCAGUUUGGGGAAGAUGAUAACAGCUAAGCCAGGGAAAACACCGAUUCAGUUAUUACACGAGUACGGCAUGAAGACCAAGAACAUCCUGGGGUAUGAAUGCGAAAGAUCUGAUGUGCAAAUACACGUGCCCACUUUCACCUUCAGAGUAACUGCUGGGGACAUAAACUGCACAGGUGAAGGAACAAGUAAGAAGCUGGCGAAACACAGAGCUGCAGAGGCUGCCAUAAACAUUUUGAAAGCCAAUGCAAGUACUUGCUUUGCAGUUCCUGACCCUUUAGUGCCUGACCCUUCCAAGCAACCAAAGAACCAGCUUAAUCCAACUGGUUCACUACAGGAACUGGCAAUUCAUCGUGGCUGGCGGCUUCCUGAAUACACUCUUUCCCAGGAGGGAGGACCUGCUCUUAAGGGAGUAUGCCACAAUUUGCUGGCUAGAGUCAUUUAUGGAAACUGGAAAGGGGGCAUCAAAAAACAAACCAAGAGAAAUGCUGCUGAGAAAUUUCUUUCCAAAUUUAGUAAUAUCUCUCCAGAGAACCAUAUCUCUCUAACCAAUGUAGGAGGGCAUUCUUUAGGAUGCACUUGGCAUUCCUUGAGGAAUUCUCCGGUGAGUAGAUCAACUUGCUGAAGCAAAGCCUCCUCAGUAUUCCAAAUACAGAUUACACCCACCUGCCUAGUGAAAUUGCCAAAGAACAAGGUUUUAACAUAACGUAUCUGGACAUAGAAGAGCUGAGUGCCAACGGGCAGUAUCAGUGUCUCGCCGAACUGUCGACCAGUCCUAUCACGGUCUGUCAUGGCUCGGGCAUCUCCUGCGGCAAUGCCCAGAGCGACGCAGCUCACAACGCUCUGCAGUAUUUGAAGAUAAUCGCAGAAAGGAAAUAAAGUUGGGGCACCUUAGAACAUCCUUCGGUAGCACUUCAGAGUUCUCUCCUCUCCUUCCCAAGUCAAACUUUUACUGUAAUGUUUGCGAGU
Octodon degus (degu) is the source of this 989-nucleotide RNA transcript. It is a transcript of the gene named interferon-inducible double-stranded RNA-dependent protein kinase activator A pseudogene, with no coding region annotated. Lineage: Eukaryota; Metazoa; Chordata; Mammalia; Rodentia; Octodontidae. The transcript has a single exon. The record is from RefSeq and is a predicted model, not a curated record.